RNAcentral lists this ribosomal RNA (463 nucleotides) under uncultured bacterium. Its description in RNAcentral is "partial 16S ribosomal RNA". It matches the Rfam family "Bacterial small subunit ribosomal RNA", at positions 339 to 795 of the family's 1533-position model. The record is from RNAcentral.
CUACGGGCGGCAGCAGUGGGGAAUAUUGCACAAUGGGCGCAAGCCUGAUGCAGCCAUGCCGCGUGUAUGAAGAAGGCCUUCGGGUUGUAAAGUACUUUCAGCGGGGAGGAAGGGAGUAAAGUUAAUACCUUUGCUCAUUGACGUUACCCGCAGAAGAAGCACCGGCUAACUCCGUGCCAGCAGCCGCGGUAAUACGGAGGGUGCAAGCGUAAUCGGAAUUACUGGGCGUAAAGCGCACGCAGGCGGUUUGUUAAGUCAGAUGUGAAAUCCCCGGGCGCAACCUGGGAACUGCAUCUGAUACUGGCAAGCUCGAGUCUCGUAGAGGGGGGUAGAAUUCCAGGUGUAGCGGUGAAAUGCGUAGAGAUCUGGAGGAAUACCGGUGGCGAAGGCGGCCCCCUGGACGAAGACUGACGCUCAGGUGCGAAAGCGUGGGGAGCAAACAGGAUUAGAUACCCGCGUAGUC